RNAcentral lists this ribosomal RNA (253 nucleotides) under uncultured bacterium. Its description in RNAcentral is "partial 16S ribosomal RNA". It matches the Rfam family "Bacterial small subunit ribosomal RNA", at positions 524 to 776 of the family's 1533-position model. The record is from RNAcentral.
UACGUAGGGUGCAAGCGUUGUCCGGAAUUAUUGGGCGUAAAGAGCUCGUAGGCGGUCUGUCGCGUCGGCUGUGAAAUCCCGAGGCUCAACCUCGGGUCUGCAGUCGAUACGGGCAAACUGGAGUGUUGCAGGGGAGACUGGAAUUCCUGGUGUAGCGGUGAAAUGCGCAGAUAUCAGGAGGAACACCGGUGGCGAAGGCGGAUCUCUGGGCCAUUACUGACGCUGAGGAGCGAAAGCGUGGGGAGCGAACAGG